CGCCCUUAGAGUUUGAUCCUGGCUCAGGAUGAACGCUAGCUACAGGCUUAACACAUGCAAGUCGAGGGGCAGCGGGAUUGAAGCUUGCUUCAAUUGCCGGCGACCGGCGCACGGGUGAGUAACGCGUAUCCAACCUUCCGUACACUCAGGGAUAGCCUUUCGAAAGAAAGAUUAAUACCUGAUGGUAUGAUGAGAUUGCAUGAUAGCAUCAUUAAAGAUUUAUCGGUGUACGAUGGGGAUGCGUUCCAUUAGGUAGUAGGCGGGGUAACGGCCCACCUAGCCAACGAUGGAUAGGGGUUCUGAGAGGAAGGUCCCCCACAUUGGAACUGAGACACGGUCCAAACUCCUACGGGAGGCAGCAGUGAGGAAUAUUGGUCAAUGGACGAGAGUCUGAACCAGCCAAGUAGCGUGAAGGAUGAAGGUCCUACGGAUUGUAAACUUCUUUUAUAAGGGAAUAAACCCUCCCACGUGUGGGAGCUUGUAUGUACCUUAUGAAUAAGCAUCGGCUAACUCCGUGCCAGCAGCCGCGGUAAUACGGAGGAUGCGAGCGUUAUCCGGAUUUAUUGGGUUUAAAGGGAGCGCAGACGGGUCGUUAAGUCAGCUGUGAAAGUUUGGGGCUCAACCUUAAAAUUGCAGUUGAUACUGGCGUCCUUGAGUGCGGUUGAGGUGUGCGGAAUUCGUGGUGUAGCGGUGAAAUGCUUAGAUAUCACGAAGAACUCCGAUUGCGAAGGCAGCACACUAAUCCGUAACUGACGUUCAUGCUCGAAAGUGUGGGUAUCAAACAGGAUUAGAUACCCUGGUAGUCCACACGGUAAACGAUGGAUGCCCGCUGUUGGUCUGAAUAGGUCAGCGGCCAAGCGAAAGCAUUAAGUAUUCCACCUGGGGAGUACGCCGGCAACGGUGAAACUCAAAGGAAUUGACGGAAGGGCG
Molecule: ribosomal RNA, 930 nt
Filed under: uncultured bacterium
Lineage: Bacteria
Description: bacterial SSU rRNA
Rfam family: Bacterial small subunit ribosomal RNA
Source: RNAcentral